Molecule: ribosomal RNA, 435 nt
Filed under: Triticum aestivum (bread wheat)
Lineage: Eukaryota; Viridiplantae; Streptophyta; Magnoliopsida; Poales; Poaceae
Description: partial small subunit ribosomal RNA
Source: RNAcentral
AUGAUCCCACCUCUCCUGAAUCUGGAUGGUUUUCCCAGCUCGAUCCUUGGCCAAAUUAACGGCGUUAACAUGUGCAUUGCUUAUUCAAAAGGAUUCAACAUCGGUUUCAUGCUGCGUCAAGAAGAUGGCCUUGAUGCUGGGGCAUGGGUUACCAUCAGGGUAUUCAACCUGACUGAUGAAGUUCGACGGAAGCUUGGGUACUUAACCAAUGGGCUGGAAAUUGUGGCAAUGCAGGGUAGCAUAGUGUACUUCACAACAUCACAGAUGUUCCAUCCGCUCGAGUACACUUGUUGGUUCGCUUGUCUGUGCUUGGAGAGUCGCAGCCUGGAGUGGUUGUUUCUGUGGACGUAUUAUGGUCUCUUCCAACCAUACCACCAUUCAUCAUGGAGUAUUUUUCUGUUACGAGAGAAUGAAAGAUUUUAUCCCUUCAUAUGA